CGAGUUCGCCGGGUGGCCGCGGGCGGAGGCGAAUGCCUCCGCUUGAGGAAAGUCCGGACUCCACAGGGCAGGGUGCUGGGUAACGCCCAGGCGGGGCGACCCGACGGAAAGUGCCACAGAGAACAGACCGCCGAUGGCCUCGGGAGAGGCACAGGCAAGGGUGAAACGGUGGUGUAAGAGACCACCAGCGCCCCGGGUGACCGGGGCGGCUGGCAAACCCCACCUGGAGCAAGGCUAAGCAGGGACGCAAUGGCCCGUUGAUCAGUCCCGGGUGAGCCGCAGGAGGUCACCGGCGACGGUGAUCCCAGAUGGAUGGUCACCGGGGACCGGAGACGGUCCCCACAGAAUCCGGCUUACAGGCGGGCUCGUUCU
RNAcentral lists this RNase P RNA (372 nucleotides) under bacterium. RNAcentral describes it as "RNase P RNA component class A". It matches the Rfam family "Bacterial RNase P class A". Rfam says of the family: Ribonuclease P (RNase P) is a ubiquitous endoribonuclease, found in archaea, bacteria and eukarya as well as chloroplasts and mitochondria. Its best characterised activity is the generation of mature 5'-ends of tRNAs by cleaving the 5'-leader elements of precursor-tRNAs. The record is from RNAcentral.